Molecule: ribosomal RNA, 478 nt
Filed under: uncultured bacterium
Lineage: Bacteria
Description: partial 16S ribosomal RNA
Rfam family: Bacterial small subunit ribosomal RNA
Source: RNAcentral
GAUGAACGCUGGCGGCGUGCUUAACACAUGCAAGUCGAACGAGAAGUGAAGACGGAAACCUUCGGGCGGAAGGCUUUAUUUCGAGUGGCGGCCGGGUGAGUAACGCGUGGGUAACCUGCCUCAUACAGGGGGAUAACAGUUGGAAACGACUGUUAAUACCGCAUAAGACCACUGCACCGCAUGGUGCGGGGGUAAAAACUCCGGUGGUAUGAGAUGGACCCGCGUUCGAUUAUCCAGUUGGCGCGGUAACGGCCCACCAAAGCGACGAUCGAUAGCCGAGCUGAGAGGAUGACCCGCCACACUGAGACUGAGACACAGCCCAAACUCCUACGGGAGGCAGCAGUGCGGAAUAUUGCACAAUGGGGGGAACCCUGAUGCAGCUACGCCGCGUGAGUGAAGAAGUAUGUCGGUAAGUAAAGCUCUAGCAGCAGGGAAGAAAAUGACGGUACCUGAGUAAGAAGCCACGGCUAACUACGUG